GAGCAGUUGCCUCAUUUCCCUUCAGGCCCCAUGGGCUGCUGGUCAACCUCAGGAUCUACUAAAGAUGACGCAAAUGCCGACUGAACAAUCUGAAACCCAAAGGACUCAAGGAGAGACAUGUUCUGCUGAGGAGAAAAAGAACUGUAAGAGAAAGCAACAUGCACCUUUAAAUGAGUUACAGAUCAAAUGGUAACCCCCUGAAGACUACCUUGUGCUAGAAUGGAACUGCCCCUGCCAUCUCUCUUUAACAGAAGCACAUCCUGAGAACCUGAGAGUUCAAGGUAAGGGUCUGAACACUGUCACCACAAACAGACAGCUAUCUCCUCAAGGUACAACCAAAGUGAGAAACAAACGCUUUCUCGCUUUGCUGUCAAAGGUGGAAGACACCACUGUUUACCACCCCAGUCCCAGAUAUCUGUAUACGUUAGCACAGCCUUACCUAGCUCUUCUGUCAAUGUCUUUUUAAGUAAACAUUACACAUUUGA
Molecule: non-coding RNA, 485 nt
Organism: Callithrix jacchus (white-tufted-ear marmoset)
Lineage: Eukaryota; Metazoa; Chordata; Mammalia; Primates; Cebidae
Source: RefSeq, a predicted model, not a curated record